RNAcentral lists this ribosomal RNA (279 nucleotides) under uncultured bacterium. Its description in RNAcentral is "partial 16S ribosomal RNA". It matches the Rfam family "Bacterial small subunit ribosomal RNA", at positions 506 to 784 of the family's 1533-position model. The record is from RNAcentral.
UGCCAGCCGCCGCGGUAAGACGAACCGUACAAACGUUAUUCGGAAUCACUGGGCUUAAAGGGUGCGUAGGCGGCGUGACAAGUUGGGUGUGAAAUCCCUCGGCUCAACCGAGGAACUGCGCCCAAAACUGUUGUGCUAGAGGGAGACAGGGGUGAGCGGAACUUAGGGUGGAGCGGUGAAAUGCGUUGAUAUCCUAAGGAACACCGGUGGCGAAGGCGGCUCACUGGGUCUCUUCUGACGCUGAGGCACGAAAGCUAGGGGAGCGAACGGGAUUAGAUA